RNAcentral lists this ribosomal RNA (280 nucleotides) under uncultured prokaryote. Its description in RNAcentral is "partial 16S ribosomal RNA". It matches the Rfam family "Bacterial small subunit ribosomal RNA", at positions 524 to 803 of the family's 1533-position model. The record is from RNAcentral.
UACGUAGGGGCUAGCGUUAUCCGGAAUUACUGGGCGUAAAGGGUGCGUAGGUGGUUUCUUAAGUCAGAGGUGAAAGGCUACGGCUCAACCGUAGUAAGCCUUUGAAACUGGGAAACUUGAGUGCAGGAGAGGAGAGUGGAAUUCCUAGUGUAGCGGUGAAAUGCGUAGAUAUUAGGAGGAACACCAGUUGCGAAGGCGGCUCUCUGGACUGUAACUGACACUGAGGCACGAAGGCGUGGGGAGCAAACAGGAUUAGAUACCCCCGUAGUCCCUGAGCGGG